CAAGUUGUUAUCCAUUGAAUAUUUACACUUAGUAAUACUUUCAAAUCUUUCUAGGUUUGAUUCCUUUAACGAGUGAUGAUUUUGUUGAUGGUUUGGGAUAUUGCAGGGUUAGUUUUGUAUUGUCUACACUGUAUUGUUUUCGAUUUCUCAAAUACCGAAAUAAAUACGAACCACUAUUUAUAGCUCCUCCAAAUAAAAGAUCACUGGUGUCUAUCAUGAAAGGAAACUGCAUUAUUUCCUCGCUCUGAUUUUACUGCUAGUUGAUCACCAUGACCAGCCGUGCGGUAUAGUAAUUCUUGACAUUUACCUUCUCUUAAGCCAGUUGCAGACGAGCAAGUUUUCUAUGACAGAUUUUUAUGUGACAAGUUUUAUUUGCUCGUCUGUACGCGCAACUUUGACAAUUUUUUCUAUGACAAGUGCACUUGUUCAGUAGCGGCUAGCAUGCUAGCUUUUGAACAAGUGCACUUGUCAUAGAAAAAAUUGUCAAAGUAAAAAUUUUGUUCGUCUGUAUGGUUCAGCAAAGAAAACUUGUCAAAGUAAUCUGAGCAUUUGAUGUGAUUGGCCAGCUGGCUACUAAUAAAUUGUCAAAGUAAACUUGUUGACACGUUCACACCAGUAAAUAAAACUUGUCAUAUGAAAACUUAUCAUAUGAAAACUUAUCAUAAAUAAUUAUUAAAUAUACACACAUGCACUUGGCAAAUACAGGCGUAAAAACGCACAGCUUGUAACAAGUCUGCAAACAAGUUGUUACAAAUCUGUUCACAAGCUGUCAACAAGUUGUGUUCGCACUGCUUGUUCCCAGUUUGUUGGAACAAGCUGUUAACAACUUUCUGUGUUGGUGUUGUGUACUCAGGUGAAUAAUAUGAUGUUUGUGAUAUUACUCUGAGUGUAUAUCCACACCGGGCGAGCUUGAAAAAUAUGCCCGGCCAGGGAGGUCGUAGGUUCGAUUCCCACCGUGGCCGGGCAUAUUUUUCAAGCUCGCCCGGUGUGGAUAUACACUCAUAGUAACAUCACAAGCAUCAUGUUAAUAACUUGUAACAAGCUUGGUGACAUUAUCAAGCCUUGUUACAAGACUGUGCCAACAAGUUUGUUACAGCCAUGAUAUAACAAGGAUGUUACAAGGUUGUCAACACAUGCAUGGUUGUAACAAUCUUGUUAUAUCAAGCAUGUAACGGUCUUGUCAGAACAACCUUGCAACAAGUCUGAUAAUUUCGACAAGGUUGUUACAAGUUGUGAACAAGUUGUUCCAAAUCUGUUGACAACUUGUAACAAGCAAUGCGCAUACAGUACAUCUUGUUGACGGCUUGUUGGCAGACUUGUUACAAGAUGUGAGAUUUUUGCGUGUGUAAAACUUGUCACAUAAAAACUUGUCGUAGAAAACUUGCUCGUUAAUCCAUUCUUACUUUUAAGAAUUUGUAAUAUUCAUGAGAGUAUAAGAGUCGCGUUCGUACCUUGUCAUUUUGGAUCUUCAAUGGACCAUUUGCAUUAUAGACUAAAUUUUGAUCUAGACAAAAAUUUCAUCACAGCUUGAAAGAGCACCACAAAAUUAGUAAUAUUCCAAAGUUUCGCUGCGAAAUGUUGUAAAAUGCGGAUAAUAAUAUAGCCUUGCGAAGUUUGCCGUUUUUCAGUCAUUUUGUAUUACGCACGGGAAAUUGACAGCCCAAUCUGAUGUUGGGCAUCAAUUUCCCGUUUGUAAUGCAAAAUGACUGAAAAUUGCAAAUUUCGCAAGGCUAUAUUAUCCGCAAUUUACAACAUUUCGCAACGAAACUUUGGAAUAUUACUAAUUUUGUGAUGCUCUUUCAAGCUGUGAUGAAAUUUUUGUCUAGAUCAAAAUUUAGUCUAUAAUGCAAAUGGUCCAUUUAUUAACUUUUAUCACUUAUGUAACUGUAUUGAUAAUAUAUUGCAUGCAUUAUUGAUCCAAAUAAAAUUGUGAAAUUAGAAAAUUAAAUUGAAAUGUAUUGGUGUUGUAUUAAUUAGGACUGUACUUGUGAAGAGUUUUGUGAUGAAUGUUCGGUCGGAUUAACAUUGGAUGUAAAAUGUAUAGAUGAACAGACACGUCAUGUGACCACGCGU
Molecule: long non-coding RNA, 2073 nt
Filed under: Paramuricea clavata
Lineage: Eukaryota; Metazoa; Cnidaria; Anthozoa; Malacalcyonacea; Plexauridae
Source: RNAcentral